CCAGAAGAGGCGCGUCGCCCAGGCAGGGUGUCAGAGGAACCGUAUUCCACUGACGGCACUUGAGGGGGAGCGACGCCGAGGUACGUGGGCAGGCGGAUGCCCCGUAUCGGCUACAGAGGCUGAAUCCUCUGGGUUGUCACCAGAUCGCCCAACGCGGGCGGCCAGCAAGGUGGAGCGCUUCUGGG
RNAcentral lists this non-coding RNA (185 nucleotides) under Chimaeribacter arupi. RNAcentral describes it as "Lysine riboswitch". It matches the Rfam family "Lysine riboswitch aptamer". Rfam says of the family: Riboswitches are metabolite binding domains within certain messenger RNAs that serve as precision sensors for their corresponding targets. Allosteric rearrangement of mRNA structure is mediated by ligand binding, and this results in modulation of gene expression. Lineage: Bacteria; Pseudomonadati; Pseudomonadota; Gammaproteobacteria; Enterobacterales; Yersiniaceae. The record is from RNAcentral.